UACAGAGGGGGCAAGCGUUGUUCGGAAUUACUGGGCGUAAAGGGCGCGUAGGCGGCCUUCUAAGUCGAACGUGAAAUCCCCGAGCUCAACUCGGGAACUGCGUCCGAUACUGGUGGGCUUGAAUCCGGGAGAGGGAUGCGGAAUUCCAGGUGUAGCGGUGAAAUGCGUAGAUAUGCGGAGGAACACCGAUGGCGAAGGCAAUCCCCUGGACCUGUACUGACGCUCAUGCACGAAAGCGUGGGGAGCAAACAGG
Molecule: ribosomal RNA, 253 nt
Filed under: uncultured bacterium
Lineage: Bacteria
Description: partial 16S ribosomal RNA
Rfam family: Bacterial small subunit ribosomal RNA
Source: RNAcentral